RNAcentral lists this ribosomal RNA (285 nucleotides) under Triticum aestivum (bread wheat). Its description in RNAcentral is "partial small subunit ribosomal RNA". Lineage: Eukaryota; Viridiplantae; Streptophyta; Magnoliopsida; Poales; Poaceae. The record is from RNAcentral.
AUGAAAUCACAUGAAAAGGAGGGGAGGGACCCAAGACCGCUGCAAUAUAUGCAACCUUUUCAAGAUACCUUGACUGAUUGUGACUUAGUUGAUAUGGGCUAUAACGGUGAAAAGUUUACCUGGCAUCGUGGAUUAAUUAGGGAGAGGUUGGACAGGGGAGUCUGUAAUCCCGGCUGGCCUCAGCUUUUCCCGAAUGCUGCUGUACAAAAUUUGGAGUACAAUCACUAAGAUCAUCGACCACUGCUACUAGACACUCAAUUUUUGGUAGCAGAUAAUCAUAUCUGA